UUUGGGUGGAAUUUGGGAUUUUUUUUAAAAUUCGGUUUUGGUGGAUUUUGGUGAACUUUGGGAGUUUUCGUUCGGGAUUUUGGGUGAAAUUCGGGAUUUUCCAUCCAGGGAUCUUCACGGUGGAGCUCGGGGAGCGUCACACGAAAAUCGGGGAGCUCACGGCUGAUGUGGAAAUCUUCAGCAAAAAGCUCCACGAACACGAGGCCGAGCUGGAGGCCCGGGACUGCCGGAUCCGUGA
This is a long non-coding RNA of Ficedula albicollis (Collared flycatcher), 238 nucleotides long. RefSeq lists it as uncharacterized. The record is from RefSeq and is a predicted model, not a curated record. The transcript is spliced from 6 exons. NCBI's taxonomy places the organism in Eukaryota, Metazoa, Chordata, Aves, Passeriformes, Muscicapidae.